GGGACAGUUGGGGCGGUCAGUAUUCCAAAGCGAGAGGUGAAAUUCUUAGACCUUCGGAAGACUAACAGCUGCGAAAGCGUUCCGCAAGGAUGUGCCCUUUGAUCAAGAACGAAAGUUGGGGGAUCGAAGACGAUCAGAUACCGUCGUAGUCUCAACUAUAAACUAUACCAGCUAGGGAUCGGCCAACGUUAUUUUAUACCGACUUGGUCGGCACCUUAUGAGAAAUCAAAGCAUCUGGGUUCCGGGGGGAGUAUGGUCGCAAGGCUGAAACUUAAAGGAAUUGACGGAAGGGCACCACCAGCCGUGGAGCCUGUGGCUUAAUUUGACUCAACACGGGAAAACU
This 343-nucleotide ribosomal RNA is filed under the name uncultured marine eukaryote. RNAcentral's name for it is "SSU rRNA". It matches the Rfam family "Eukaryotic small subunit ribosomal RNA", at positions 875 to 1215 of the family's 1831-position model. The record is from RNAcentral.